GAUGAACGCUGGCGGCGUGCCUAAUACAUGCAAGUAGAACGCUGAAGGAGGAGCUUGCUCUUCUGGAUGAGUUGCGAACGGGUGAGUAACGCGUAGGUAACCUGCCUGGUAGCGGGGGAUAACUAUUGGAAACGAUAGCUAAUACCGCAUGACAACAGUUCUUGCAUGAUAACUGUUUAAAAGGGGCAACUGCUCCACUACCAGAUGGACCUGCGUUGUAUUAGCUAGUUGGUGAGGUAACGGCUCACCAAGGCGACGAUACAUAGCCGACCUGAGAGGGUGAUCGGCCACCCUGGGAAUGAGACACGGCCCAGACUCCUACGGGAGGCCGCAGUAGGGAAUCUUCGGCAAUGGACGGAAGGCUGACCGAGCAACGCCGCGUGAGUGAAGAAGGGUUUCGGAUCGUAAAGCUCUGUUGUAAGAGAAGAACGAGUGUGAGAGUGGAAAGUUCACACUGUGACGGUAUCUGAACAGAAAGGGACGGCUAACUACGUG
This 495-nucleotide ribosomal RNA is filed under the name uncultured bacterium. RNAcentral's name for it is "partial 16S ribosomal RNA". It matches the Rfam family "Bacterial small subunit ribosomal RNA", at positions 28 to 507 of the family's 1533-position model. The record is from RNAcentral.